This is a long non-coding RNA of Chiloscyllium plagiosum (whitespotted bambooshark), 752 nucleotides long. RefSeq lists it as uncharacterized. Lineage: Eukaryota; Metazoa; Chordata; Chondrichthyes; Orectolobiformes; Hemiscylliidae. The record is from RefSeq and is a predicted model, not a curated record.
UCCCUGUCCGUUCGCCCCGCUCCGUUUCCCCCGUCGUUUUCGCGCGCAUCCUCCGCCGCCACUCGCAGUCCUGACGUCAGCGUGCCCCGGGUACGCAGACGCAGGUUGUUGGUGGUCGCCGGCCUCUGCGAGGGUGGAGAGCACGUGGCUGGUUUGCUGGCGGGCGGUUGUUGCCAUGGUGACGAACCGCUCGGAAGGUGCCCCACGAGAGUUUCUGAAGCGAGUUUGAGAGCGGUAGAAGAUUCGCCAGAAGUUAGUGAGGCGAUCUUUUCUUUAUGAAAGAGACUUGGUGGGGUAAAGACAGCGUGCAGACUGGAAGCGGUCUUUCGGUGUCUUGUCUGAGUGCGAGAUUGUGGAGAGGGUGACAGAACGAGCCCAAGGCCGCACUGACUGAUUACAGGCAAAUUAAUGUGGAGGCUGGAAAUCUGAAACAGAUACAGAAUGCUGGAGAAAGUCAGCAGAUAUCGGAUUAGAAGAACUGACAUGCAGAUUAUUUUCUAAAUGAGGACAGGCUUUGGAAAUCUUAAGCACAAAAGGACUUAGGAGUCCUAGUUCAGGAACCUUAAAAUUAACAUGCACAUUUGGUUGGCAAUUAAGAAGACAAUACAAUGUUAGUGUUAAUUUCAAGAGGGCUAGACUACUCAGGUAGUGUCUCCCACCCAUCCUCCUCCUCUAACCUAAAAAAAAGUUGUGGGAGCCAGAUUGACAAGGUAAGGAGGAAACUGGAGCACCAGAAGGAAACCCACGCAGAC